Long non-coding RNA from Mus musculus (house mouse), 2361 nucleotides. RefSeq annotates it as predicted gene, 33255. Lineage: Eukaryota; Metazoa; Chordata; Mammalia; Rodentia; Muridae. The record is from RefSeq and is a predicted model, not a curated record. The transcript has 3 exons.
AGUCUGCAAGGUUUUUUACCAUAGACUUGAGCAGAAAUCCUGAAAAGUGAGACCCUUUGGAGUUAGUGUGAAGACAGGAUGUGUCACAAUUCUGUGAUAAAAUGAUUCCAAAAAGAUUCACUUUUUUGGCUCAUGACUCAAGCACAGUCCACCAGAUUUGGGAAGACAUGACAACAGGAGCUUCAGUAGGCUGCUCACACUGGAUCCACGGUGAGGAGGCAGGAUUGCCACCAUAGCCAUCCCAAGCUACCAACACAGCUCACUGCACACAGAGCUGAGAGGAACUGUGUCUGGUUGAGAGCCUAGAGAUUCAGUCUACGCAGAGCUGUCUGAGAGUCUCAGUGAGGCUCAGUGCUUGUUCUGUACCAUGGCACCUGCUCCUAGAAACCUGCUGCGUGUGGCCUAUUUUUCAGUUUGUUUAUUUAUGAGGUCUUUCUUUUUUAAAAUUUUUUCUUUGUAUGGGUUGUAUUUGUACCAUUAUGAUCGAGACUUGAGGCUACACCAUAGAUGGGGAAUCAAGUUAAAAUGUGAAACAGUUUUCAAAACAAAUUAACGGUUGGGGGUUGAACUUCAAAUGCCAAAGCAGGCAUGUGCCUCUGGUCUCCUGGACCAUGGCAAAUGCAAUCACUGUUCCUUGAUAUCCGUUCUUUCAAAGCUUCUCUUUGAUCUGAAUGAACGUGUGUACCAUAUAUAGGGGUUUGCCAUGUUUCAGAAAAAGUAACAUGAAGGUAUGUAUUUCACAAUGUGGUAGCAAGGACCACUUCAUAGAGAAAAAAAUUUUAGCAGGUUUAUUGUAUUUUUGUAAAAAUGGUAAAACAUAGCUGGCACUGUUUUAUAAGAUAAGGUGUCGCUGAAAUUUGAAUUCUGUAGAUUAUUUGUGUUGGAGUAUGAAUAACAGUGUGUAUAGUAAUAAGAUAUAUUUAAAACAUAUAGAUUAUGUACAUGUAAGGUUGCAGUUUCAAAAUCAACAUUAAAAAUAUGUAACUCUUUAGAUUUUAAAACCUUUAAUUUAUUAUGCAGAAACUGUUUUUAUAUCUAAGUAGGUGACAAAUAAAAACCAUCAAAAUGUUGGAUUGUACAUGGAAAAUAGCAAUAUCAAAUUAUUCUGUUAAAAGUAGAUUACUUUAUUGAGCACCUCAUAAACUUUUAUGUCCAACUGGAGAAAUUAAUGAUAUAGUUUAUGUCCAGCGAUGAGGAAAUGUUUGUACAUGACACUUACAUUGAGCCUGCUGUGCAAGCCACAUAGCAUUUCACACUUACCUGGAGAUCAGGGCCACUCCUUUGAUAGUCAGAGUUCUAAUAACAUAAUGCAAACUGGAUGACUGUCUUCUGCAAGGAUGGCACUCUUUCAUGGUUGUCAUGGAUAAGCCAACCAUGAUGCUUCUAGAAGCAAAAAAACUUAUUAUGAUUAUCUAGUGAUAGGUCAGGCUGUUUGGCACUGGGAACUGAUGUAAACAGAAGUCAUGUGGCUUGCUGAGAAAGCCAACAAAGCACAGAACAACAAGGUGGCGUAACCUUCUCUUCAUCUAAUUGACACGUAGAAGAUGUUACUGAAGUUUGAAUGCUUUAAUUGUACAAAAUAAUAGUAUUCAAUGCACCAGGGUCAACAGUGAUGUACUUCAGUCAUAUGUAUAACAUCAUAGGAGAUCUUAUGGAUAAGAUACAUGUAAUAGAAAUAACAUGAUACAGUUAUAUAUAAGCCACAUACACAAGUUACGUCUAUAAAAUCCAUACAACUGCAUGGGCAUCUAAAGCUCGCGAGAUCUUUAUACAUGGAAAGAGUUGAAACCAUGAAAACAGCUGCAGUUACUUUAAUUAAUACCAAUUAUUGUGCUAGCUUUGUAGUAUGAAUGUUACAUUAUUAUAUUCCUCUAAAACUGUGGUUUCUGAAAAGGGUCAGACUAGAAGACACAUUCCAACAUGAGGGACAUUCUAAAAAUUGUCUUAAAAGAAACUAGCUCAAAUUCAGAAAGUGUACUGAAUGAGUUUUUACAGGCAUGUAAUUAAAUUCACAGAUCCAGGGAACCAUGCUCUGAAAAAAAGUCAAAGAAACAAUACCUCAAAAAAGACACCCAUCCCCUCUAUCAGAUGAAGAUCUCAUCUUACAACGUCAGCUGUGAUUUUCACCACAGAGGAAAUGAUUAUGAGUGGAAAUGUUUCAUCUUUUAUAUUUCUUUCCUUCACCGGAAAGCAGAAAUGUUUGAAACUUAAUACCUUAAAUCUUUCCCCUAUUAUUGAAAACCUACUGUGUUCAUAAUUGAAAGGCAGAAAAAGAUGGAGCCAAUAAGUUAGAUUAUCCACAUGACUUCUAUAUAUUUAUUUUAUAUAAGUGUACAAUUUUAACCUUAAUCAGUAAUAAGU